This 497-nucleotide ribosomal RNA is filed under the name uncultured bacterium. Its description in RNAcentral is "partial 16S ribosomal RNA". It matches the Rfam family "Bacterial small subunit ribosomal RNA", at positions 28 to 507 of the family's 1533-position model. The record is from RNAcentral.
GAUGAACGCUGGCGGCGUGCCUAAUACAUGCAAGUCGAGCGAACGGACGAGAAGCUUGCUUUUCUGAUGUUAGCGGCGGACGGGUGAGUAACACGUGGAUAACCUACCUAUAAGACUGGGAUAACUUCGGGAAACCGGAGCUAAUACCGGAUAAUAUUUUGAACCGCAUGGUUCAAAAGUGAAAGACGGUCUUGCUGUCACUUAUAGAUGGAUCCGCGCUGCAUUAGCUAGUUGGUAAGGUAACGGCUUACCAAGGCAACGAUGCAUAGCCGACCUGAGAGGGUGAUCGGCCACACUGGAACUGAGACACGGUCCAGACUCCUACGGGAGGCAGCAGUAGGGAAUCUUCCGCAAUGGGCGAAAGCCUGACGGAGCAACGCCGCGUGAGUGAUGAAGGUCUUCGGAUCGUAAAACUCUGUUAUUAGGGAAGAAAAUAUGUGUAAGUAACUGUGCAAAUCUUGAAGGUACCUAAUCAGAAAGCCACGGCUAACUACGUG